GGCAAUGUGAUGUUGGAAGGGAGUAUGUUUUAAUGAAUUAACUGAAAUAUAGCUGAUAUACAAUAUUAUAUUGGUUUCAGGUGUAUGAUAUAGGGACAAUUGCCUACAUUACAAACUGCUGUCCACAAUAUAUUUACCAUCUGUCAACAAACAAAGAUAUUACAGUACUAGUGACUAUAUUCCCUAUGCUGUACUUUCAUUUCUGUGAGUUAACAAUUCCCUAAUAGCACCUAACGCCCGGUAGAAGGUGAACUUGGAGCACCAACCUGAAGCAGUGAGCAGUGAGCCAGGUGGGUAUCUGGGGGAAGAACAUUCUAAGCAGAGGGAAAGCCAGUGAAAAGGCCCGGCAGCUGGAGGAUUCCAGGUUGCAUUCCAGGAACUGCAAGGACGCCAGUGUAGCUGGAACUGAGCAAGGGAGCCCAGGGGAGAGGGUAGGGUACGAGGGCAGAGAGGGAAGGGACCAAAUCCCCCAGAGCUUUGGGGGCCCACGGUGAGAACUUGGGCUUUCCUAGGAAUGAGCUGGAAAGCGUGGAUGAGUUGGAGGCGAAGAAGAACUUGACCUUCGGGAAGCGGGAACAGUCGCCCUCUGGCUGUGCUGUGAGGGAACAGACUGGGGGAAGGGAGGGCUCGCGCCUGCAAGGACGCUCCGACCCUCCCGCUUCGGAUGCCUGUGGCGAGUCCAGGUGGUCACCCGUGCUUCCGAUCCACAGGCUAUGCCUAGACUGGAGGUUCCCACCACCCCGUCCUUGGGUUGGGUUACGCUGCUGGAGUGGCUCACAGAACUCAGAGAAACAGUCACUCAACGAGAUGACCGAUUUAUUAUGAAAGCAUGUAAGUCAGGAACGGCCAGAUGGAACGGAUACGUAAAACGAGGCACAGGGAAAGGGGUGCAGAGCUUUCGUGCUGCCUCAGCGCACCACUCUCCCCAAAUCUCCACGUGUCCACCAACCCAAAAGCUCUCCAAACCCUGUCCUUUUGGGUUUUUAAUGGAGGCUUCAUGACGGAGACUUGAUGGAGGAAAGCACCUGCCGGUCAGUGAUGGAUUCAACCUCCAGGUCCAGCCCGCCAACCACUGCGGUUGGUUCCUUGGCAACCAGCCCCCAUCCUCAGGUGCUUUCUAAAAGUCACCUCCUUAGAUUAAACUCGGCUGUGGUUGAAAGGGGUUCACUGUGUGUAGUAAGACACCUUUAUCGUUCUUCUCCUUUAGGAAAUUCCGAGGGUUUUAGGAGCUGCGCGCUAGAAAUGGGAAUGAAGACCAACUACGUAUUUCUUAUUAGAAAUCAAAAUAUCACAGGGUAGAUCCCAACUCGGGGCUUUACUGAAUCCAGUUUAUGACAAUGUCCAGAGACUACCGAUCAGCCUGCUCCCGUGGUUGUGUUAAUUGCUUCCCAUCCCCCAGCUGUGCAAGGGUUUGGCUGCCAGCCAACGCUGGGUAUUUUCAGUGAGGUUUUCAUUUUUACUUUAGUGUUUCUGCAGGUCUUUUGUUUUUUUUUCCAUUUGUUGUUCCAUUCUAGUCGAGUGUUGAUUUUUAAAAAAUAAACUUUCAAGUUCAGAGUAGCUUUAGAUUUCCAGAAAAGUUGCAAAGAUGGCACAGAGAGUUCCUGUACCCUUCACCCAGCCUCCCGAAUAUGAACACCCUAAUACCUAAGGUGUAUUUGUCCAAGCACCCACCCAGGAUGCCACUUUGCGUGUAGUUGCCACGUGGCCUGUUUCCCUCCUCAUCUAGGGAUGCAGAGGAAUAUUUGACACAAAGAAAAGAGAAGGGGAUGUGAAGACAGAGAAGAGAGAGAUCUGAAGAUGCUGGCCUUGGAAACUGGAGCGAGGUGGCCCUAAGCCAAGGAAUGCCAGGACCCAGUAGAAGCUGGAGAAGUGCCCACGGAGAGACUACAUUUCCCAGCCUCCCUUGCAUGGAGGUGGGGUCGUGUGACUGGUUCUGGACGAUGGAGCGCAGGCAAGAGAGCUCUGCUGCACUUCCAGGUCUGGUCCGUAAACAUCUCCCAGCAUGUCCGUCUUUCUCUUCUCCACCUGCUGUUUGGAUGCGGACGCCAGUGUAUUAGUUAUUCAUUGCUGUGUAACAAAUUACCCGCCAAAGUCCUCCUACCUUAAGGUAAAUAACACAUUUAUUAUCUCACAUAGUUUCUGAGGCUCAGGAAUCCAGAGCAGCGUAGCCAGGUGGUUCUGGCCCAGGCUUUGUCACGAGGUUUCAGCCGAGCCGCUAGCGAGGGCUGUAGGCAUCUGAAGGCUCACCCAGGGCGGACGAUGCAUUUCCAGGCUUGUUCACAUGGCUGUUGGCUGGAGGCCUCAGUCCCUUGUUGGCGGUUGGCCUCUCCGUAAGCUGUUUGACAUCCUCAUGGCGCAGCCGCUAGCUUCCCCCAAAGGAAGUGAUGAGAGAAAGAGAGGAGGAGCCCCAGACACAAGCCCCAGUCGUUAUAACCCAGUCAGUGUUGAAGUGAUAUCCUGUCAUCCGGCCAUGUCCUACUGGUCACACAGACCAACCCUAGUAUGCUGUGGGCGAGGACUGGGCAGGUGGGGAUCACUGGGCUUUACCCUGGAGCCCGGCCGCCAUGCCCAGGGGAGCCACGUGUUACGAUAAUACAGAUACCAUCAUAGCCCAGCUUCCUGCUCUGCCUCUGCUGAUCAGAUUUUAAUUGACACUUCAGAGAUUAUCUGCCUCAGUGGUUAAUCUCGCUUUAACAAAUACAGAGAUCAACUGCCAACCGGGCAGGAUGUGUCGUUUCAGCCGAACACCUAACACUUUGUGACUUUACUAUGUGCAGAUAAAACUGAUUAAGAAAAUAGAUAUGAAAAAAAGGGAAUACAGAAAACCAACCCCAUCGAUCCAACAGAAGGAAGGAAUGAGAAAAAUAACUCGGAGUAAACUCCAAGUGGAUCAAAGAUUUCAGUGUAAAAUAUUAAACCAUAAGAGAGUAAGUAAACACUGGAAAAUUCCUUUGUAACCCGAGUAUGGACACAGCCUUUUUGAGUUGUGACUCAAGAUCCAGAAUUAUAAAAGAAAACACGGGCACAUUCAUCUGUGCGGACCUGGACCCACAUUCUUCCUCUUCCCCUUUCCUUCCUGAGCAGCGCCGUUCUAAGCCCUUUUGGGGGAGCAGCGAAGGCCAGCUUGGGGUGGGGGUGGGGACAGAGGCGCAGAAUGGGGUGUCAGGGCUUCCUGGGGUGCGGACACUCCUGCUGCUACGGCUCCGUACCGUGGGGAGCAGUGGAGUGGGGGGUGUCUGUGCCAGGAGUGGGGCUGGCGGACCUCGGGAGGGGAAGCGCAAGCCGCGGGCGGAGGAGGGCCGGGGUGACAAACGGGCCACCUGGUCAAAGAAGGAAAUGAAGGAAAAUGGCAGUCGGACUUGUCACUGCCGGAGAAGGGGGCGGGGGCGGGGACAGAUACGGAAAGAGAGGAAGUUAGGGGUGUUGGACCUGAAUGGAUAAAUCACCGUGAAUUCAGGGUUUUCAGUAUAUACACAGAUAGAUGUGGAAAUAUAUAAUUGCUUAUAAACCUAACCUAGAUCUGUGUGUAUGUGCAGAAUAAAUACAGAAUAUGUAACAUACAUUACGUGUGCACGUGCAAUAAGCAAUGUGAGAUACUCUGUCUGUCGGUCUCUAUGAUCCGUACACUGGGAGAGCCUGUAAGCAGCAAAAACCCCAAAGAAACAGCAAGCCCCUCGGGGUUCAGAUCUUGGGCUGCCCCGUUUCUCUACCAGAGGGGCCCAGAGCUCCUUCGAGUAAUGGCUGACUCUAGAUGGGAGCUACAGAAAGAGCAAAAUGAUCCUGGCACAUUUUGCGAUUAAGGAAGCAAGGAAAUGCUCAGCAAAUGGUGGGGGGAUGUCAACAGGACCCAGAAAUCUGCGUGAAGACGCUCCCCCUGGAAAAUAUUGGGUGUAAUAUCUCCAUUCAUCACCAGGACUAAAUAAAGUUACCCCCUUCAAACAAACAGGGAAACAAAACAUCACAAAGAAGUCAUUCUGACCACUAAAAAUAAACAAUGAGAGUAAUUUUCUUCCUGAUUAUAGUUAAUAGAAUAGGAAUAAAUAGGAAUGAGUCCAGGCAGACAGAAAUGAAUAACUUGAGGUUUGCUGAGGAGUAAGAUAUUUACAUGGUCUCAAAGUAUCUCCCUACACAGUUCUCAUUAGUUACAGAAAGCUUAACUUUGCCAUGGAUAAGACAGGCAGAUGCCCCCUUGAUCAUAUGGCCAAAACAAAUAACGUGAGUAACGGGGGAAAAGGAGAUCAGAAGCCCCCUCCCCUUCAAUGAGAAGAACGCAGUCACAAAAACACAAUCAGUAGUUUUGCUGCUGAAGAAUCUGAUCACGAGGAAACAUCAGCCAAACACACACGGAGGGACAGAUUACAGAACUGGCUCGUGAUCUUCAAAGAUGUCAAGGUCGUGCAAGUCAGGCAUGACUGAGGAAUAUUCUUUCCUGGAAGAGAUGACAACCGAUGGGAUGCGAGGCUCCAAGCUCCGGGCUUUUGUUACAAAGAGUAUAAUUGGGACAACCAGGAAACCUCGCCUGAGGUCUGAGGAUGCCAGGAUGGUGGUGUAUUAUUUGGAUGGUGGUGCUGCGGUACUGGAAGAGAAUGCCUUUGUCAGUCAUGACCCUGCCUUACCCUCAAAGGUUCUGGAAAAUAAGAGAUGCUUGUACUGUACUUCCAACAUGUUUUAUAAGUUUGCGAUUGUUUCACGGUUAAGAAAAAGUCUUAUUUUUUUAGGAGGAAACUUUGCCUGGUAAAUUAAACACCUAAAGCAAAUUCACAAGAUAAAUGACAAAUGGAGGGAAAUAUUUGCAACUCAUACUCAAAGAGCUAAUUUUUAGAAAUUUUUUAUUAAGGUA
Long non-coding RNA from Manis javanica (Malayan pangolin), 4840 nucleotides. RefSeq lists it as uncharacterized. The record is from RefSeq and is a predicted model, not a curated record. Lineage: Eukaryota; Metazoa; Chordata; Mammalia; Pholidota; Manidae.